AUUGCUUUGAGAAACAACAGGGAGCAAAUUACUGGACGGAUUCUUUAACUUACCAAUCAGAACCGCUGACCUUUUAUGACUCCUCAAUUCAAGAAGCCGGCCAAACACUCACAAUAAAGGCUAUGGAAACAAACAAGCAAAAUAAUGCAGUAACCUUUUACUCGCCUGCUGGAGGUACUAUCUGCUGCAUAGAAUUUUAAAUCCUCAUCUGCAGACGCAAUUGAGCUGGUAUUGCCAAGAACUCUGCUUUUCCUGUGCUGCUGCGAUACAGCUAUUCAUCAAAAGAACACAUUAUGUGAAAAACGUUAAGUACUAUCAGUUUAAGUUUCUUAUAUGAUUUAACAAAAGAACUUCUAAAAUCUAGCUAAAGCUCUGCUCUGUCACAUUUUCAGAUGCAUGUCAGACACGUUGGGGAAAAAGGUCUUACUGCUGCUGAUGUACUCCUCCUAGCAAAUGUGUGAGACUGGGAAGCUAAGAGAGUCCAGGUGGAGAAGACAUGCAACAAGCAAAAAUACCACAGCAGACAGUAGUAACUGCAAAGAAGAAGAGGGGAAGAAGAAGGAAGGAUGAGGGGCACCUGGGUGGCUCAGUCGUUGGGCGUCUGCCUUCAGCUCG
Molecule: long non-coding RNA, 615 nt
Organism: Mirounga angustirostris (Northern elephant seal)
Lineage: Eukaryota; Metazoa; Chordata; Mammalia; Carnivora; Phocidae
Exons: 3
Source: RefSeq, a predicted model, not a curated record